RNAcentral lists this unclassified non-coding RNA (307 nucleotides) under plant metagenome. RNAcentral's name for it is "partial contains 5.8S ribosomal RNA, internal transcribed spacer 2, and large subunit ribosomal RNA". The stretch from base 1 to 105 matches the Rfam family "5.8S ribosomal RNA", at positions 50 to 154 of the family's 154-position model. The record is from RNAcentral.
GAAAUGCGAUAAGUAGUGUGAAUUGCAGAAUUCAGUGAAUCAUCGAAUCUUUGAACGCACAUUGCGCCCUUUGGUAUUCCAAAGGGCAUGCCUGUUCGAGCGUCAUUUGUACCCUCAAGCUUUGCUGGGUGUUGGGCGUCUUGUCUCUAGCUUUGCUGGAGACUCGCCUUAAAGUAAUUGGCAGCCGGCCUACUGGUUUCGGAGCGCAGCACAAGUCGCACUCUCUAUCAGCAAAGGUCUAGCAUCCAUUAAGCCUUUUUUCAACUUUUGACCUCGGAUCAGGUAGGGAUACCCGCUGAACUUAAGC